RNAcentral lists this ribosomal RNA (468 nucleotides) under uncultured bacterium. RNAcentral's name for it is "partial 16S ribosomal RNA". It matches the Rfam family "Bacterial small subunit ribosomal RNA", at positions 28 to 507 of the family's 1533-position model. The record is from RNAcentral.
GACGAACGCUGGCGGCGUGCUUAAUACAUGCAAGUCGAACGGAAAGGCCCUGCUUUUGUGGGGUGCUCGAGUGGCGAACGGGUGAGAGACACAUGAGUAACCUGCCCUUGACAUUGGGAUAACUUCAGGACACAGGGGAUAACACCGCAUACGAGCUCCUGCUGCAUAGUGGGGGUUGGAAAGUUUCGGCGUUGGGGGCUGUAAUCGCGGCUUAUCAGCUUGUUGGUGAGGUAGUGGCUUACCAACGAUUUGACGGGUAGCCUGCAUGGGAGGGUGACCGGGCACAUUAUGACUGAGAUACGCACCAGACUCCUACGGCCGGCAGCUGUCGGAAAUAUUGCAGAAUGGGCGGGAGUCUGAUGCAGGAACGCCGGGUGCGGAAUAACCGCCUUUGAGUUGAAAACCGAUUUGGCCUGUGACGAAGAGUGAGUGACGGUAACGGGUAAAAAAGCACCGGCUAACUACGUG